AAAAGACUCUCUUCCUCCCCCGAUUCAUUUCUUCCCCUCGUCUCCCCCGCCGCCUCCCACCGGAGACCAAGAGCUGCGCCCUCUCCCCCUAACCCUAGGCCCCAGACCGAGUAGGUCAAGCGGCGGCCAUGGCGCCCCAAGGUCCGCCUCCUCCGUCUGGUUCCUGCUCGAUCUCCUCCAGCUCCAGAUCCUCCACAAUCUCGCGCGACGGGAGAGGAGCCUCCGCCUGCUUCUUCUCCGGCGACGGCGCGGCCGUGCGCCCCUGACGCCACUCUUCCGCGCGAGGAGAAAGCUGCCUGCAGCCCGGCUGCUCCGACCCUAGUGCCGGCGCCAUGGUCCAGGGCCAGAUUAUCCACAAUCUCGCGCGAAGGGAGAGGAGCCCCCGCGUGCUUCUUCUCCGGCGACCGCCCGGCCGUGCGCCCCUGAAGCCGCGUGAGGAGAAAGCUGCAUGCGGCCCGGCUGCUCCGACCCUAGUGCCGACGCCAUGGUCACCGGCAAGAUCCCCUUCUCCCUCUAUCGGCCCUCUUCUCCUCCCCGGCCACCGUCGUGGCCUUUGAGGACAAGGACGACGGCUGCGCGCUUGGCGUCGGCGGAUUCCACCAUCUCGUCAUCACCUUCCAGGUCGCUCUACACCCGGACAUGGGACUGGCGCGCGGGCGCCGACAUCUGUGCGCCCGAGAUCGUCGGAGCCGCAUCAGGCUGGUUAACAUCCUCUGCUACACCCCCGACGCGGGAGCGGGAUGCAUCGACCUCAACCCCCUGCCGCAGGAGGUCGAGGGCCGCCGGGACUGGGAGACCGCCGAGAUGCCGGGCAGAUUCAGCGCCGACCAGAGCGCCAAGGAGGUGGCCGUGCUCUACGUGGUGCCCGGCGACCGCGCCGGCCAGUUCCACGCCGAGAAGAUGGGCUACCAUGACGAGAUGGUCCUGCUCUGCUCCCAGGGCACCGCUGAGGUGCUCGUGCUGGCUGCCAGACCUUGAUAAUACUCGGAUUUCAUCCCCUUACGUCAGCUCAAUCGGGGACAUCUUCUCUACAGGCUCCAUCGGCCUCCUCUCCGGCGGAAGAUACUACUUGGAUUUCAUCCCCUACGUCAGCUCAUACGCGGAGAUCAUCUCUACAGUUGCGUCGACCAGAGCGCCAAGGAGGUGGCCGUGAUCUACAUGGUGCCCGGCGACCGCGCUGGCCAGUUCCACGAAGGAGGUGGCCGUGAUCUACAUGGUGCCAGACUUUGAUAAUACUUGGAUUCCAUCCCCUACGUCAGCUCAUUUGCGGACAUCUUCUCUACAGGAAUGUAACCCAUGGAAGUUUCUGCUGGACGUGGAGGCAGAGAUGUGGGCAUCAAGUUUCACAAAGAUGGAUGUUUACUUAGUAUGUCAACUUUCUUUUUAUGCAAGUCUCUCAGGUCCACUAGAGACUGCCGUGUGGUGUGCGCUGGGGAGAACAUCACCAGCGAAUGCGCUCACUCCGAAGCCUUCCACCCUGCCUCUCCAGUGGCCGCUUCUUCUUCGACUCCGGCAUAGUCUCCAGCAACGGUGGUGUGCCGCUUUGCUUCUGGCGCCAACGAGGCGACUGGGCUGUUGUCCCGUAACCUCGGUAUCAGAUCCCACGACUGUCUCCUCAGCUAACACUACUUAGGAACCUCGAAAUCAUGGUUGGUUGUUAUAAGAUGAGGGAUCUUGAUUGACAUGCUCAAGGGCCACGUGGUUGGUUGUGAAGCUGAAGUGAUGCAUCUCAUACCUGGGACUUGUUCUUUAUUUCUUUGCUGGAGGUGUCGCCAAACUGUGGUAAUUAACUCAUGAGUCCUUUGGUGCCGAUGCAUGUCAGUAGCAACUUUGUGCCAAACUUAGUGAUUUGUCGUCGGCGCAGCCUGUUGGUUGUCGUCGUGGUCUCCAGCAACGGUGGUGCGCCACCUUGCUUCUUGCUCCAACGAGAUGACGGGGUUGUCGCCCCCAUACCCUCGGUGUCAGAUCCCACGACUGCCUCCUCAGCUACCACUACUUAAGAACCUGGAAGUCAUGGUUGGUUGUUACAGAGUGAGGGAUCUUGAUUGAUAUGAUCAAGGGCCACAUGGUUGGUAUUGAAGCUGAGUGUUGCAUUUCAUACCUGGGGACUUGUGCUUCGUUUCUUUGCUGGAGGUGUCGCCGAACUGUGGCAUUGAACUCGUGAGUCCUUUGGUGCUGGCUUGGUCCCCUGAUGUGGUUUCCUCACGCACACAGGUGCACGACAGAGUCGCUGUGUGGUGUGCGCAGUGAUCCUUCUUCCACUCCGAGGACUCCCGCCCUGCCCCUCCUGUGGUCUCGAUUCCUCUUCCACUCUGGCAUAGCUGGUGGAUAUGGUACACCAUCAUCAUCAAUGAGAGAAGGGGUUCAUUGUGCCAGGCAAGGUGCAUGGUGGUAGGCUCAGUCUGCUGCUUCAGCGUCUUCCGUUGGUCCCGCUAUCGUGCGGCGGAGAUGGUGCUUUUUGGCAUCGGCUACAAAAUAGCCAUGGUGAGCUCCUCUCAUGCCUCUGCUCGUCGCCUCCGGUUGCUCUGAGCUUGUGGCCGUCGAGCCACGACUAUGGUAGUCAUUGUUGCCGGGAUCGGGGAACGAGGCAGCGACCCUCGAACCAGGUUCGUCGUCCCGAAUCGAGGGUCGGGGUCGACGAGUGGAACGACGAGGGUCGAUGUCGGGGGCGCGAUCCCGGACGCUAGGACUAGGAUUCGAACCACUUCAGCGACACCAAAAAUCAACACUGGGUCUCGAUUCCAAUUUCCCAUCGCAAACAGAAACAGGAGGUACUGAUUCAUCGAGGCGCUGAGAUUUACAGGAGUCCAUGGCAUCCAGGCGUUGUGGUGCUUCCUCACCGCGCCGCUGAUCCUAACCAAGUACAAGCUGCUGCGGCCUGUCCGGAGCCUUGUUGGCGAGGCGGCGCGCUCGUGCAGGGUGAGGGCGGCGCGUCCCAGAGGUUGCUUCACUCGGUGAGCAGCUCGAGCUCUACGACGACGCCGGCCGAGGUCAUGCUGGGCUAGGGCGCGCGGUUCAGGAAGUUCAUCCGCGGAUGUCGCGUGCGUUCCGUGCGCUCACUAGGCUCGCACUUGUAUUUGGAUGUUCCACACUUUCCUUGAAAAAACAGCCAUAUAGGUAACCUAGAUAACUGGCUUACCUACAAGCCAUGUAAUUAGGGAUCUGCUACCAGUAUAAUGGAAUCAAUCAAUUUCAUCCUUUUUCUGUCACGGUGAUUUAUAGAUUCCUAACUAAUGCACUCUCGUGUAGUUGCGUUCCUCCACACGCCGUAUCGUUCCCGGGUCAUCGUUCCCAAAUUGAUUGGAUCACGUUCCACCUAUCGAUCGGUUCACAAGAGAGAUGUAUUCCCACAUCGUUCCCUGCUAUGGCUAUCUGGCGAUUCUCGACCCUCGUUCCCGUCCCUCGACCCCGUCGUCCCGGGAACUUGGCAACUAUGAUGGUAGUAGCUUUGGUUUCAUGGCCAUCGUGCCAUGGCUAUGUCUGUUAGUAACUGGUCAGUACUAUCUGUGUUAGUGCUUGUGCUGUGCUUAUGCGAGCUAUGCUUCAGGAAUACCAAGUUUUUGUGCUGAAGAAUUUAAAACGAUCUCCUUAACUAUUAUCUUUAGGUAUAGAAUGAAAAACUUAGCUCACAAAGUUUCUUGUUCCCUGUUUAUAUGGUCGCAGUCUAUCUGCAUCUUGUUUUACAAUACUAUUGAUUGCCUAUGAAAUUGGAAUCUGUUCCCUGUUUAGGCAAGGGUGAUAAUAACUCGUACAAUCCAGAUUUUCUUCUUUUUAAUAGCUUAGUACAGAUUUUAAUUUUAGAACAUAACAGGACUAGUUUAUUGUUAGUGUUUUAUUAUAGAAAUUUGAGGGAGUUCAAGAUUGAUACAGUAUACUACUCCCUCCGUCCCGAAAAACAUGUCACGAGGGUUAUUUUUCAAAAAAACCCUCAAGUUUCUCCUGACCAAACCCGCACUCCUUGUCAUCCUCCUCCGACAGUAUCCCCAGCUGUGCUGCUCCCCGCCGCCGUCGCUUCCCCGCUCCCCCGCCGCAGCUGCUCUGCUCCCCGCCGCGGCGGCUCCCCUGCUCCUCCACUCCCUCGCCGCAGCUGCCUCCUGCUCCGUCGCCGCUCGCUGCCUCCCCAAGCUCCCCCCUACCUCAUAAAAAUCUUCGAUUUCCGCCGCGCUGAUGAGCUCGACGACGAGGCGUCGCGGCUGGUGUUGUAGGCGUCGGGCGCGACAGACCGAGGCGCUGCGGCGGGGCGGCUUCGGCCUGGAGUGCGGGCGCUACUGCAACGGCGAACCGGAGGAGAGGCUCCGGCAGUGGAGCCAGGCAUGGCUUGGCGUCGCCAAGAAAAUCUCGCCGCCUUCCCUUUCUUAUUUCGCGCGCGCCAUAACACUGGCGGCAGAGCUUUGACCUCGCCUCGCUGGAGGUUAAUCCCCUCACUGUCCUUCCUCUCCUAAAAGCGCCCUAAUCCCGGGCGGAGAGGACCUCAGCCGGCGCCUGGCGCGCCUCUCCAUUUCCUUCUCUUGUUCACUCCGCGUCGGCUGCGGGCGAGACCUCCCAGUAGCACCGCAGCGAUGUCGUCGGCGGCGGGGACACCAUCGGACUGCGGAGGGGAUAGGCCGUGGCAGUCAUACCACACCGCCUACACCAACGCCAAAGCUGGAAUGGAGGGAGUUGACAAAGAGAAGGUGCAGAAGAUGAUCUAUGAAAUGAGCAAGGGUUCUAAAUAUUUCGAAAAUGAGCAGAAGAAGGAGGCGAUUACCAAACUUAAAAUCAAGCAUCUGGGCGCACAGUGUGCAAAGUUAACUGAUAAUGACAUAUCACAUGUUCAGAAGCAUCUCCAAGUCCUACAGCCUGGGUCAUCUCUGUCACCAACACAUACAACCUGGGAUAUGGUACACCAUCAUCGUCGAUGUAGGAUAUGGUACACCAAUUGAUGUGCACCGUAUUGGCUAGCUAAAUAGUUAAAUAGCUUAAUUUGUGGCUCCAAGGAAUUCAAUGUUGUUGUGAUUUUGCUAAGCUCUUGUAUGGAUCAUUUUGUACAACGAUUGCACUUGGGCCGUCCUGGAGUAAUGUGCAUGUGGGUCCGCAGCUCUCGUCGGCGUGACCUAGUGGUUGGCGUCUUAGUCUCUGGCGACGGUGGUGCGCCACCUUGCUUCCGGCAUUGAGGGGAUGGCAAGGUUGUUGCUCCUUAACCUUGGUCAUGGCUCCAACGACUGCCUCUCUGGCUACCUAUACUUAGCGUUCCUGCACCCUUGGUCUAUCAUAGGAAGGUGGAAGGUCUGAAGCCAAAGGUGGAACAAGGAAUGUCAAAUGCAGUAGAUGCAAACAAAUUGACUGGCAAAAGCUGUAGCAGGAUGGCACCACCUAAAUACCAGGAAUUGGCGGUCCAGAAGGUGAAUACACAAGUGCCAAUCAAAAAGGUUCAGAGAUGAGAAAAUUCAGAGCUUAGAACAGAAGGGAUGCAGGGAGAGGAAGCGAGGGGUUCGUCGCGGCGGACCGGCGGCGCGCCGUUCGCACGCGCGCAAGGCGACGGCGGCAACAGCCCUGCCGGCCGGCCGGCGCAGUGGCUGUGACGGCGGCCCGACAGUUCGUGUGCGAUCUGCGGAUGCGGCUAUGGCGGAGCAGCGGAGGGGAGGUGCUGGUUCGUCUCGCGUCUGAUAGAUCGAUCUAUUUUUUGGCGACGAUGUAUCCGUGCGAUGCGCUUCUGGGCCAAGGUGUGGACUCGAGGAGAAGGUGGGCUACUGGGCCAGCCUAUGUUUUGGGCUUCUAAAUGCUUACCAAGCACGUUGGCGACUUGGCGUACCAAUUUCGUUUUUUCUUAUACUGACACAGUAUAUAUGCUAUAUAUACCUAUUUUU
This is an RNA transcript of Triticum dicoccoides, 5846 nucleotides long. RefSeq lists it as uncharacterized. The record is from RefSeq and is a predicted model, not a curated record. The transcript has 17 exons. NCBI's taxonomy places the organism in Eukaryota, Viridiplantae, Streptophyta, Magnoliopsida, Poales, Poaceae.